ACCAUCCGCGGUAAUUCCAGCUCCAAUAGCGUAUAUUAAAGUUGUUGCCGUUAAAAAGCUCGUAGUUGAACCUUGGGCCUGGCUGACCUGUCCUCCUAAUCGAGCGCACGGGUUCGGUCGGGCCUUUCCUUCUGGGGAUCCCGAUGCCCUUCACUGGGCGUCGUGGGGAACCAGGACUUUUACCUUGAAAAAAUUAGGGUGUUCAAAGCAGGCCUUUGCUCGAAUACAUUAGCAUGGAAUAAUAGAAUAGGACAGAGGUUCUAUUUUGUUGGUUUCUAGGACCGCUGUAAUGAUUAAUAGGGAUAGUCGGGGCGUCCGUAUUCAAUUGUCAGAGGUGAAAUUCUUGGAUUUAUUGAAGACGAACUACUGCGAAAGCAUUCGCCAAGGAUGUAUUCAUUAAUCAGUGAACGAAAGUUAGGGGAUCGAAGACGAUCAGAUACCGUCGUAGUCUUAACCAUAAACUAUGCCGACUAGGGAUCGGACGGUGGUUUUUUUUAUGCCCCG
This 504-nucleotide ribosomal RNA is filed under the name uncultured fungus. RNAcentral's name for it is "SSU rRNA". It matches the Rfam family "Eukaryotic small subunit ribosomal RNA", at positions 569 to 1078 of the family's 1831-position model. Lineage: Eukaryota; Fungi. The record is from RNAcentral.